RNAcentral lists this long non-coding RNA (1147 nucleotides) under Patiria miniata (bat star). RNAcentral's name for it is "uncharacterized LOC119745715, transcript variant X1". Lineage: Eukaryota; Metazoa; Echinodermata; Asteroidea; Valvatida; Asterinidae. The record is from RNAcentral.
UCCCCGCGUCAAUUCCGGAACUUUGGUCUGACCAGAGACCAAAUAUUUUUUUUUUGGCCUUAUCUCAGUAAGUGCCUUUAACACCUGAUGGAAACCCAUAUCCCAUCAUCUGCAAUGGUGACCAACUGUCGGUGGAGAGGAUGGUAGAGGCAAGGCUAGUACAAUCGUCGGCGUCCUCACCACUUGACAGGUUUUGUGGCCUCAAGCCUACGCCCCAAGAGUUCCACAAGAGAUGCAUCAUUCUUUAGAUGCAUAUGUGACAGUGAGGCAAAAUGAGGAAUGUCCCCCAAAACCUUAUUUUGAGUAAUCGAAAAAUACAGACAAAAGAGAAAAAUCUGAAGAACGUUUUUCACUGCCGUUGGCGGCGCAAUGCGUGUCUUUUUUUCAAAGCCGUGCAUAACCAACCUCGUCCCCAGUGCUUACUUUAUUUCAAACCUCUUUUCCAAUAGUAAGCCCCGGAUACACAUUGCUCAAUAAAAUUAAUUUAGUUAAGUAACCCUGGUUAUGUUAACACAAUAAAUACACUUUUGUGUAAUCGCAACUGACUCAAUGUUUAACCCCUUUCGUUGUUUAGGGAACGAUUGGUAUUGUUCCGAAAAGUGCGAGGCAACAACGAAGAAGACCAACAAGAAGCCGGACUUUCUUCGAGAGUAUAAGCGGGCUCUUGCGUGGCAUGAAAUGUUUCAACUGGUCCACAAUGAUGCAGAACGUGAAAAUGAUGGGCCGUUUCUUAUCCGACUGUGGAAGCUAUGCGUCCCUCUGUUUUGGUCUAGGGGCCAUAACAAGUACCUCAUACUAGGCCAUCGGUUAUUGGCAGGUGUAAAUGGCUGGCUCGAACCAAGAGUGAAACACGACAUCAUUUGGAAUCGAACAUCGAAUUUGAGAGGUGGUGCAGGCAACAACUUAGCAUUGGAUUUAGUAAAUGAGUUUGAAAAUCUAGAGUUCAAAAAGUAAGUAUUGAAAAAUGGUGUUGGAAGAAAAUCCGCGUAGCUUUACAUAAUUUUUUUAAUCAUCUAGGAAAAUGUGAUUUAUAAAUUAUGUUUCUAUAUCAAAUUAUAAUACAUGUACAUUAUUUGUGCUGUUUGUCCAAAGUCCGUUUAGAAUUGGGGAAGGAAAACUUAAUUCAGUAACGAUAUUUUUUUUAUAG